Long non-coding RNA from Carassius auratus (goldfish), 1415 nucleotides. RefSeq lists it as uncharacterized. The transcript has 4 exons. The record is from RefSeq and is a predicted model, not a curated record. NCBI's taxonomy places the organism in Eukaryota, Metazoa, Chordata, Actinopteri, Cypriniformes, Cyprinidae.
CCUAGCGAGAGAGAAAACACUUCUCUAUUAUGCCAUUCCAGACUCUGUCUACGAAGCAAAGUGAAGUAGCAGAGUCUGGUAUUACCAGGCUAAAUAAUCGCACCCACAGUUGUCUCCUUCUCACCAAGCUUUUUGCUGAUGGUCAUGUAGCCGAUUCCAGCCUUGUCCAGAUCUACAAUCUUGUCUCUGACAUCCUUUGACAGCUCUUUGGUCUUGUCCAUGGUGGUGGGAGAGGUUGGAAUGGAACAAACCGAUUGCAUGGACAGGUGUCUUAUACACCCAACAAGCUGACAUUAGGAGUAACUUAAAGUGGCAGGACUAAUCGUUUAACAUGGGCACAUAACCAGUCUUUGGGAGCCAGAACUCUUGCUGGAUGGUAGGGGAUCAAAUACUUAUUUCACUCACUGAAAUACAAAAUGGGUUCUAACCUUUAUAUAAUGUUUUUUCCAGAUUUUUUUGGUUGGUGUUCUGUCUCUAUCCAUUAAAAUAAACUUACAGACCCCUAAUUUCUUUGUAAUUGGGCAAACUCACAAAAUCAGCAGGGGAUCAAAUAAAUAUUUUCCCCACUGUAGGACAUUAGAAGAGCAACACCUCUUAAACCGACCAGAAAUCAGUCCUCAGGCCUUUCUCUCUCUGGCUAUCCCACAGCACUGGUCAUCUAGUUCUGCCCUUAGUUUGUCCUAAGUGAAUCGGACCAGAAGUAUUAGCUUGCAGAAUCACAUCUCACCCCGUCCUGUUCUGGAAUGAGCUGAGUGGUCCACACACAUACACCCCUGUAGCAUUAAUACCCCUCUGUGGAGGCCUCUGCUCUCCCAACCACACCCUGUUUUUUCUGCCUCAUAUUUUUUAAUGACAAAAUGUUUUUGUGAAACAAUCGGGGUUGACUUUUCUCUCAAUCCGGGGUAUAGUGUUGGGAGCUUACGCGGUUCCGGUACCCAGCAUUUCAGACGGCUAACAAAACAGGUCCACUUUACUUCUGCUUCGGUGACUGCCUGCAAUGCUUUUCACCCACAGGAAAAAGACCAGAGGGGCAGAGAGCACGCGGCGGGUGAAUGAAUGAGCCAGGUCGGAUGCCUAUUCAAACCCAGUAAGACUCAUAGUAUUUUACAAUGGGCAUGACUUCAUCAGAGGCCUCUGAAGCUGAGGUGCCAGUGAAUCCAUGCAGCUGUUGGGGCCACAUCAAAGAACGGGAGAAAUGUCCAUAAUUCUCAAAUCCCCAUUUAUGUAUAGGGUUACAUUUGAGUUAAAAGCAGAACUUUUGGGCUGUUUGAUGUGUUCCUGAUAUGUUCAACAGACAGAGCGUCUGGAGAACUCCACUCCGUAUUUGACAUCUGCCGAGCAGCCGCCCCAUUUCCAGCCCUCUUCCUGGUCAUGGUAGCCCUGCUUUUCUCUGUCACAGCCGCAGUGGCUCAGAU